UACGUAGGUGGCAAGCGUUGUCCGGAUUUACUGGGCGUAAAGGGCGCGUAGGCGGCGUGACUAGUCACUUGUGAAAUCUCCGGGCUUAACUCGGAACGGUCAAGUGAUACUGUCGUGCUAGAGUACAGAAGGGGCAACUGGAAUUCUCGGUGUAGCGGUGAAAUGCGUAGAUAUCGAGAGGAACACCUGCGGCGAAGGCGGGUUGCUGGGCUGAUACUGACGCUGAUGCGCGAAAGCCAGGGGAGCGAACGGG
This 253-nucleotide ribosomal RNA is filed under the name uncultured bacterium. RNAcentral's name for it is "partial 16S ribosomal RNA". It matches the Rfam family "Bacterial small subunit ribosomal RNA", at positions 524 to 776 of the family's 1533-position model. The record is from RNAcentral.